RNAcentral lists this ribosomal RNA (301 nucleotides) under uncultured bacterium. RNAcentral's name for it is "partial 16S ribosomal RNA". It matches the Rfam family "Bacterial small subunit ribosomal RNA", at positions 509 to 807 of the family's 1533-position model. The record is from RNAcentral.
CAGUCGCCGCGGGAAUACGUAGGGUGCAAGCGUUAAUCGGAAUUACUGGGCGUAAAGCGUGCGCAGGCGGUUCGGAAAGAAAGAUGUGAAAUCCCAGAGCUUAACUUUGGAACUGCAUUUUUAACUACCGGGCUAGAGUGUGUCAGAGGGGGGUGGAAUUCCACGUGUAGCAGUGAAAUGCGUAGAUAUGUGGAGGAACACCGAUGGCGAAGGCAGCCCCCUGGGAUAACACUGACGCUCAUGCACGAAAGCGUGGGGAGCAAACAGGAUUAGAUACCCCCGUAGUCCCUGUCUCUUAUAC